This is a long non-coding RNA of Eriocheir sinensis (Chinese mitten crab), 1424 nucleotides long. RefSeq lists it as uncharacterized. Lineage: Eukaryota; Metazoa; Arthropoda; Malacostraca; Decapoda; Varunidae. The record is from RefSeq and is a predicted model, not a curated record. The transcript is spliced from 4 exons.
CUUUUCCUACACAUCUAGAAGAAAUACAGAAUAAAAUAAAGAUAUGUAAAUGGUAUUCGUAAGUUACAUUGGUAAAUUAUAUUCGUUUUGUUUCGAGGGAAGAAAACUACAGCAGAAACGUGAGCGGGAAGGUUUCAGAAUGUACUACGUAGAAUAUAAUCAUUUACUUGCUUCUUUUGAAAACGAUGACGAAGAAGAAGAAGAAGAAGAAGAAAGAAGAAGAAAAAGAAAAGAUGACGAAGAAGAAGAAAAAGAAGAAAAAAUAAAUAGAUGGGAUGAUAUAGUGCUGGCGAAGAACAAAAUAAAUAUAACAAAAAAAAAUGUAUUAAAUUACCGUUGUUUUAUUCAGAGGAAAGAGGGUUACAACAAAACUUUACAAGAAAACAAAUGAAGGUUUGUUUACAUCGAACACGAGGCCUCGCUUGCUUCGCUUCCUCGGCGCGGCGGAGUGGCGGUUUGUGUAGUGUUGUGUUUAUUUCCUAACCUCCUGUUGUGACGCCACCUGAAGGUCCCCCUGAGGUUUGUGUGUGGCUGGCGCGUCUCCUUCCCUCAGAACUAUACGAGAGAAAGUUCUGGAGUUGGAAAGUGCUCAGCUACGACUUACUAGCCACUAACUUGGCAGUGAUAUAAACCUCAGCGUCACGGGGAAGGAAGAUCUGCACGUCAGCCGUUAUCAGGGCUGACGCUCCUCGGACACCGGCUGAGAUAACACAACUUCCCACAGUGCUGGGCCAGGACAUGAGUAAAAGGUGAAGCGGGGGGCGCACGCCAUCAAUGCAUGGAUGGCCUCGAUGCUGAUUUCCGUCGCAUUGGCCCGUGCGCCUGUUUUGGGUAAGUACCAAUUACUCCGGGACAGUUAGCCAGUAUAACAUCCGGGUUACCACAGUUUACCUUCCUCAGGUUUCCUUAGCUAGCCGAUCGAUCAGCCCGAAAGGGAGGAUGAACAGCUCGGUCAUCUGCACGCCGAUUGCUCAGGCUAGGAUUCGAACCCGGGCCCGCGGAUUUGUAGCUAGACACAUUUACCACUAGAAUAUGGAGACGUGGUCUAGUUGUAUUUUUAUUAUUAUUAUCAUUAUUAUUACGUAUAAUGGAGGAUGAGCAUUUCGUGUGCUGGGAAAUAUUAUACAACACAUUUACAAAGACUUUUAACCAUAUGAACAACAUCGGAAACGUAAUAACAUAUGAGUUUGUAACAAAUCAUCAUUGUUGGAUCGGAAAAAAAUAUAUAUUGAACAACUUAAUACUUUUAGACAGAUAGCUAUCAUAUUAUUACAGAUAUUUGAAAAUUUACAAGCUACUUCGCCUCAUUGGUCGCGUCUAGAAGUACUUUUUAACAUUUUUUUUCUUUAUUUCUUGCUUAUUUUAUUUUAUUUAGUUUUCUUAUUUUGAGGAUGGGUAACGCUUGACAAAGGAUACGCUUGUAA